GUUGUGGUUAAAAAGCUCGUAGUUGGAUCUCAACAGCCUUGAAACGGUUAACUUUGUAGUUUUACUGCUUUAUAGGCUGUGCUUUUGCUGGAGGUUUAGGGGUGCUCUUGAUCGAGUGUCUCUGGAUGCCAGCAGGUUUACUUUGAAAAAAUUAGAGUGCUCAAAGCAGGCUAAAAUGCCUGAAUAUUCGUGCAUGGAAUAAUAGAAUAGGAUGUCGAUCCUAUUUUGUUGGUUUUCGGGACUCGACAUAAUGAUAAAUAGGGACAGUCGGGGGCAUUUGUAUUCAAACGACAGAGGUGAAAUUCUUGGACCGUUUGAAGACAAACUACUGCGAAAGCAUUUGCCAAGAAUGUUUUCAUUAAUCAAGAACGAAAGUUAGAGGUUCGAAGGCGAUUAGAUACCGCCCUAGUUCUAACCAUAAACGAUGCCAGCUAGCGAUCUGCCUGCGUUUUUACUGUAGACUGGGCAGGAAGCUUCCGGGAAACCAAAGCAUUUGGGUUCCAGGGGAAGUAUGGUUGCAAAGCUGAAACUUAAAGGAAUUGACGAAAGGGCACCACCAGGAGUGGAGCCUGUGGCUUAA
RNAcentral lists this ribosomal RNA (580 nucleotides) under uncultured marine eukaryote. RNAcentral describes it as "SSU rRNA". It matches the Rfam family "Eukaryotic small subunit ribosomal RNA", at positions 612 to 1193 of the family's 1831-position model. The record is from RNAcentral.